CAAGCCCUGGAAACGGGGUCUAAUACCGGAUAUGAUCACCGGCCGCAUGGUCUGGUGGUGGAAAGCUCCGGCGGUGCAGGAUGAGCCCGCGGCCUAUCAGCUUGUUGGUGGGGUGAUGGCCUACCAAGGCGACGACGGGUAGCCGGCCUGAGAGGGCGACCGGCCACACUGGGACUGAGACACGGCCCAGACUCCUACGGGAGGCAGCAGUGGGGAAUAUUGCACAAUGGGCGAAAGCCUGAUGCAGCGACGCCGCGUGAGGGAUGACGGCCUUCGGGUUGUAAACCUCUUUCAGCAGGGAAGAAGCCUUUACGGGUGACGGUACCUGCAGAAGAAGCACCGGCUACUACGUGCCAGCAGCCGCGGUAAUACGUAGGGUGCGAGCGUUGUCCGGAAUUAUUGGGCGUAAAGAGCUCGUAGGCGGCGUGUCACGUCGGAUGUGAAAGCCCGGGGCUUAACCCCGGGUCUGCAUUCGAUACGGGCAGGCUAGAGUUCGGUAGGGGAGAUCGGAAUUCCUGGU
This 520-nucleotide ribosomal RNA is filed under the name uncultured Streptomyces sp. Its description in RNAcentral is "bacterial SSU rRNA". It matches the Rfam family "Bacterial small subunit ribosomal RNA", at positions 144 to 674 of the family's 1533-position model. The record is from RNAcentral. Lineage: Bacteria; Bacillati; Actinomycetota; Actinomycetes; Kitasatosporales; Streptomycetaceae.